This 89-nucleotide transfer RNA is filed under the name Zetaproteobacteria bacterium CG_4_10_14_0_8_um_filter_59_127. Its description in RNAcentral is "tRNA-Leu". It matches the Rfam family "tRNA". Rfam says of the family: Transfer RNA (tRNA) molecules are approximately 80 nucleotides in length. Their secondary structure includes four short double-helical elements and three loops (D, anti-codon, and T loops). Lineage: Bacteria; Pseudomonadati; Pseudomonadota; Candidatius Mariprofundia. RNAcentral also lists the same sequence under 7 other names. The record is from RNAcentral.
GCCGGGAUGGUGGAACUGGUAGACACAAGAGACUUAAAAUCUCUCGGAGAGUGAUCUCCGUGCGGGUUCGACUCCCGCUCCCGGCACCA